Molecule: unclassified non-coding RNA, 438 nt
Filed under: Hevea brasiliensis (rubber tree)
Lineage: Eukaryota; Viridiplantae; Streptophyta; Magnoliopsida; Malpighiales; Euphorbiaceae
Source: RNAcentral
ACGGCGUAUAAGGCCGUGCUGGAGAUGGGGACAGUCGUGGCGGUGAAGCGGCUGAAGGAUGUUAAUUUGCAAGAGAGGGAGUUCAGGGAGAGGAUCGAAGCGGUCGGGGCCAUGGUUGAUCCCAAUUUGGUGCCUCUGAGGGCUUACUACUUCAGCAAGGAUGAGAAGCUGCUUGUGUAUGACUACAUGCCAAUGGGCAGCUUGUCGGCACUUUUACAUGGAAACAGAGGAGCCGGCAGGACCCCACUCGACUGGGAGACAAGAUCUAGUAUAGCUCUUGCUGCAGCGAAGGGCCUCAGAUACAUCCACUCAACUGGACCUUCAGCCUCUCAUGGCAACAUCAAAUCCUCCAACAUCCUCCUGGCGAAGUCAUAUGAAGCCCGUGUGUCAGACCAUGGCCUUGCCUAUCUUGCAGGCCCGUCAUCCACCCCCACUCGC